Long non-coding RNA from Acinonyx jubatus (cheetah), 874 nucleotides. RefSeq lists it as uncharacterized. The transcript is spliced from 6 exons. The record is from RefSeq and is a predicted model, not a curated record. NCBI's taxonomy places the organism in Eukaryota, Metazoa, Chordata, Mammalia, Carnivora, Felidae.
UAAACGCACUGGGGACGUGUUCCAGAAGCGGCGGCAUCUCCUGUCGGGGACCGGCCACUCCCGGCUCCUGUUACCACCUCUGGGAGGUGACCCCAUCUUUAGGGCACUGUUCCCUGGGGUUUGAUAGGGCCCUGGGAGACCUGGUCGGGGUGAGCCGAGAGGCCUCCUCCAAGCACGGCUGUUAGGGCCCAGAGCCCUGGGGUACUGCAAUGGGUAUUUUCUUCAAGUAAGGGCAUUCUUCUAAUAAUCACAGGAAAACCAUCCAAACCAGAAAGUUAACCUUGAAUAUUCCUCAAGCUUGGUCUGACAUUGCCUUCCUUAUGACUAGAUACACAACUGCAUCUUUGGCAGGAAUACCCCAUAAGUGAUGCUGUAUUCUUCUCAAUGCAUCCUGUCAAAUGGCAAAGUAUUUCCAUUCGUGCCAUUAUUGAUAGUGUUUACUAAUUUAAGAUGGUGUCUUCCAAUCUUGUCUACUAUAAGGGCCAAGGCAAAGGCAGAAUUAGAAGAGCCUAAUCCCACCUUCUACUCACUUCUGUAGGAUUCAAUAUUGGUUUACUGCAUUCUGUUUGCUACUUCCUUGCCACUCCUAGACCACAGGAGACAUAUAACUACACUGGAACUUUGAGGCUAUGCCAAGCCCACCUGCCAACAUUGCCAUCUUUUCCAUAUAGCAGCUGCCAGGAACUCCACAGAGAAGAUGAGCAAUUUGUCCCUCUAUCUCUGAGCCAGGCUCACCACUCCACUUUGUUCCUCCGAGUGAACAUGUCAGGUGCUACCUUGUUAUUUCACCUUGUCACCUGCUCCACUUGGUUUUGAUGAGUGGUGCAACCUUGAGGAAUGAUAUUCAGAGUGUGGGGGUUUGAUGAUCAGGUAA